UAACAAGCUUCCGGUACAAAUCGGAGUCCUCGUUCUUGACAAUCCCGAAGGUAACGACGUGCUGCAAGAAAGUGUGGACGUCAGGGGUCUUCACGUUUUCCACGCCACCGCGCUCCUCGAGGCUGGUCUUCCAAGUCUCUGCGAUCUCCGUGGCCUGCUCCUUCACAAUAGGAGUCACCAACAGCCUCGAUUUUCCGAUGACGGGGUCGACCACGACCGGAAUCAGCGACUCCAGGACAAGGACGCAGGCCCAGCCCAAGUCGUGGCCGGCCUUGUCCCCUCUCUUGUCGACCGGAAACACCUCGGAGAUCGCCUCCAGCACGAAUUUCGCCGGAUCAACGCACUCCGCCAGAGCCACAGGCAUCUCGGCGCGUAGGCCGUCGAGCUCCUUCUUCUUGGCGCUGACGAAGGCGAAGAACCCGAAUGCGUCCAUGCGGAGGCAGAAGGACUUGAGUUUGAGGAUGAGGCCGGUGGUGUCGUCGACCUCACCGUCGGGGGAGCUGUUGAUGAUGUCGUCGGCGUCGGUGAGGAGGGCGGAGAGGGCAGCGGUGCGGCGCGUGUCGAGCGUGCGGAGGGCGAUCUGGAGCGUGGCGUCGAGGGAGGUUUCGCGGCGAUCGAGGAGGCGGAGGGAGUCGGAAGUAGUGUUGUCGAGGGUGCGAAUCUUGCGUUUGAGGGCUUCGGAUUUGUGGUUGAGGUCUUGCUCGAGGGAGGAGAAGUGGUCGGAGAGCUCCUUCCAGAGGAGGGUGCAGCUGGUCAUGAGGGAAGUUUGGCGCUGGAACUCGUCGAAGCUCGGCUGAGUCAACUCGCUC
This 809-nucleotide long non-coding RNA is filed under the name Glycine max (soybean). RNAcentral's name for it is "long non-coding RNA (GMAX_LNC002348)". The record is from RNAcentral. Lineage: Eukaryota; Viridiplantae; Streptophyta; Magnoliopsida; Fabales; Fabaceae.